AUUGAGCGCUGGCGGCAUGCUUUACACAUGCAAGUCGAACGGUAACAGGUUAAGCUGACGAGUGGCGAACGGGUGAGUAAUGCAUCGGAACGUGCCCGGUCGUGGGGGAUAACGCAGCGAAAGCUGCGCUAAUACCGCAUACGAUCUGAGGAUGAAAGCGGGGGACCGUAAGGCCUCGCGCGAUCGGAGCGGCCGAUGUCAGAUUAGGUAGUUGGUGGGGUAAAGGCCCACCAAGCCGACGAUCUGUAGCUGGUCUGAGAGGACGACCAGCCACACUGGGACUGAGACACGGCCCAGACUCCUACGGGAGGCAGCAGUGGGGAAUUUUGGACAAGGGGCGAAAGCCUGAUCCAGCAAUGCCGCGUGCAGGAAGAAGGCCUUCGGGUUGUAAACUGCUUUUGUACGGAGCGAAAAGGUCCUUUCUAAUACAAGGGGCUCAUGACGGUACCGUAAGAAUAAGCACCGGCUAACUACGUGCCAGCAGCCGCGGUAA
This 493-nucleotide ribosomal RNA is filed under the name uncultured bacterium. RNAcentral describes it as "partial 16S ribosomal RNA". It matches the Rfam family "Bacterial small subunit ribosomal RNA", at positions 29 to 523 of the family's 1533-position model. The record is from RNAcentral.